RNAcentral lists this ribosomal RNA (379 nucleotides) under uncultured bacterium. Its description in RNAcentral is "bacterial SSU rRNA". It matches the Rfam family "Bacterial small subunit ribosomal RNA", at positions 150 to 524 of the family's 1533-position model. The record is from RNAcentral.
UGGGAAACCGGGGCUAAUACCGGAUACUCCCUACGGGGGAAAGCGGGGGACCGUAAGGCCUCGCGCUAUUGGAUGAGCCCGCGUCCGAUUAGCUUGUUGGUGGGGUAAAGGCCUACCAAGGCGACGAUCGGUAGCUGGUCUGAGAGGACGACCAGCCACACUGGGACUGAGACACGGCCCAGACUCCUACGGGAGGCAGCAGUGGGGAAUACUGGACAAUGGGGGAAACCCUGAUCCAGCAAUGCCGCGUGUGUGAAGAAGGCCUGCGGGUUGUAAAGCACUUUCGGCAGGAAAGAAAAGUCAUGCGCCAAUACCGCAUGACCUUGACGUUACCUGCAAAAGAAGCACCGGCUAACCCCGUGCCAGCAGCCGCGGUAAU